Long non-coding RNA from Apis cerana (Asiatic honeybee), 2311 nucleotides. RefSeq lists it as uncharacterized. NCBI's taxonomy places the organism in Eukaryota, Metazoa, Arthropoda, Insecta, Hymenoptera, Apidae. The record is from RefSeq and is a predicted model, not a curated record.
AUAAUUGAAUAAUCAAAUGUUUAUGUAUACUUAAACCGAACAUACAAGGUGUCAACAUAGUUCUUUACAGUGGUUCUACUUGCGACAACCACGAUGUACAACCAGAAGUCACUAGUGUUGAAUCUUCUAUAAUUUUUCGGCUUGGCUUGAGAAUCUCACACUCUGUGAAUCAAGACGUUUAUCAAAUUUACACGUUCCAUCUAAGGUGAUUAAUCCAUUGUUUCUCUUCAUCGAAAAACAAUAAACAUUUUCGAUUACCAGCAUCCAAGCUGUUCUCCACGCUCAUCUGUUCGUUUUUUCCAUCCUGUUGAAUCCUCGAUCCACCGUGAUGUUUGCAGAUCCACUGGUAAGGACUGUACAUCAAGCACACGUGCUCGUUAGUGUGCUUAUUCUUCUUUUAAUACACUUGACUUACUCGUACACAUUUAGACGCAACCCAUUGAAUUUCACGCUCGAAUUGCAGCUUCCCCCCAGGAUGCACGCGAGAGAGAAAAGAAAAUAAAGAAAUAUGGAUAAACGAGAAACCGACGAGAAUGUGACUAAUGAAAAAAAAGAAAGACACGCGAGAAAUUAAGUAAAAAUCUAGAUAGAGACACAAUGACGUUUCGGGCGACGUCAACUCUCGCCCUUUGCGCGCUUUCGGUUAUUGAUCGCGAACCGUCUGGGGGCUUACAAUGGUUUAAGCCGGCCUACCAUCGCAAAUCAUGAUUCAUAUGGAUCGACCCUCUUUUAUCGCGAUGAAAAAAUUAGUCAUGAUGCGUACCCUAAUAUAUGAUAAGAAAAUGUAAUAAGAAAAUAAUUUUCUUUCUAAUAAUUUCUUAAUAUGCACUGGAAAAAGGAAUGAUAAAAUAUUAUUAUAGAUUAUACAGAAUAGCUAAUAAUUAAUUUUAAUAACUUAUAACAGAAAGAUUGAGAUACGAGCAUCAAAUGAUUAUCAUUGUUGAUAAUAUUGUUGAUAAUAUAAUUAUUUUGGUUAUUAUUGUUAUUAUGGUUAGUAUUAUUAUUGAAAAAAAUUAAGACACAAAUACCACUAUUCUGGCUGCACUGCGUUGCAAUUGUCAAGUUCUACUGCUCUCAAGAGUACAUCAAGAGUGAAAGAUAUACCUAUUGCGCUCGCGUGCACUCAUUGCGCAUGUGUACUCUUAGUUAAAUAUAUUUUUGUAAGAGUCAACUGCACAUCACGUAAUUCUAUAUCAUGCAUACUGUUGGUUCUUAAUGCAACCAUAUUGUUGUAAUUCGAUUAAAAUGUUUAUUAUAAUUAAUAUGAAAACACUUGUUUUUUUGCAGUUUAGUUCUAUUUUCACUUAUUUUGAAAACUAUUUCUAAAUCUAAAAUCUAUUCUUGAUAUAAGAAUUAAAAAUUUUAUUUUAGAAAUUGAAAAGUAAAGAGAAUGAGAAAAGAAUAAAAUAAAUAGGGUGGUCUACUCCGAAUGAAUUCAAGAAUAACAGCAUGGGCAUCUUUCUUCAAAUUCGGAGUUGGUGAUGGUGUCUUCCUCAGAUGAUAUCUUCUUUUCCGAAUAUCAUCCAUCAAAAUUUCAUAAGGUGUUAAUUCAAAUUCUGCUCCCUUUCCUCGCCCACGGGUUGUGCUUUUUGAACCCAAAUUGGCUUCUACCUUUUUUAGCUUCACACCUUUUCUUAAUUCUUGUAUAACUUGUACCCAAAAUCUUGCCUAUUAAAAUAAUUAUUUUAAUUGAUUCUUAUUAAAUAUAAUUAAAAUUACAAAAAAAAAUGAUUUUUAAAUUUUCAAUAAAUUUUACAAUUUUUGUUUUUAUGUUCAAAUAUAUUAAAUGCUAUUAAUAUUAUUUAUUUAAUAUAGAGGAUUGAAAAAAAUUCCUAAAAAAACCUAAUAUUUUUAUAAGAUAAAUUAUAAAAAUUAAAAUUAAAUUUUUGAAAUAUUUUGCAUAAAUUUAAAGUAAAAUCAUGCAUUUAUAAUUUUAUGAAAAUCAAUGUUUUAAAGCAGCUAAUAAUUGAUAAUAAUAAUUGUAUAUUAAGAUUAAUCAUAUUAUAUAUAUAAUUAUAAUUAUAUUCUAAGUUCUAACACAUCAUUCUAACACAUGCGCAAAUUAUUAGUAAUGACAUACUUGUAUAGCCCUCCAAAUCCUAAUGUCAGUCUAUAAUGGUAGAGAGUCAAGUCAAUAAAUCUCAAAUAUCUUAUCUCUGCAAAAUGAUAAAUGACUUUACACGAUAUAGUAAUAUCAGUUGUUUCAUUUUACAUAACUUACUCCUAUGCGAUUUAUUGAUGAUUAUUUAUGAAAAUUACUUUUUAAUUACAAUAAAAAAAAUAUUUAAUAAAUGAAAUUCGUAUCGAAAAA